GGUGUUAUAUUCAUUUGAUGAUAUUAGAAUGCAAUUCUGAUGGUGAAACUUUUGUUUCUAAGGCCU
Molecule: transfer RNA, 66 nt
Filed under: Cryptocercus hirtus
Lineage: Eukaryota; Metazoa; Arthropoda; Insecta; Blattodea; Cryptocercidae
Description: tRNA-Cys
Source: RNAcentral